UUAUCGGAGAGUUUGAUCCUGGCUCAGGACGAACGCUGGCGGCGUGCCUAAUACAUGCAAGUCGAGCGGACAUCAGGGAGCUUGCUCCCUGAUGUUAGCGGCGGACGGGUGAGUAACACGUGGGUAACCUGCCUGUAAGACUGGG
This 145-nucleotide ribosomal RNA is filed under the name Bacillus inaquosorum. RNAcentral's name for it is "partial 16S ribosomal RNA". It matches the Rfam family "Bacterial small subunit ribosomal RNA", at positions 1 to 142 of the family's 1533-position model. Lineage: Bacteria; Bacillati; Bacillota; Bacilli; Caryophanales; Bacillaceae. The record is from RNAcentral.